This 1194-nucleotide ribosomal RNA is filed under the name uncultured eukaryote. RNAcentral describes it as "SSU rRNA". It matches the Rfam family "Eukaryotic small subunit ribosomal RNA", at positions 577 to 1799 of the family's 1831-position model. The record is from RNAcentral.
CGGUAAUUCCAGCUCCAAUAGCGUAUAUUAAAGUUGUUGAGGUUAAAAAGCUCGUAGUUGAACCUUGGGCUCGGCCCGUCGGUCCGCCUCACCGCGUGCACUGACUGGGUCGGGCCUCUUUUCCUGGAGAACCGCAUGCCCUUCACUGGGUGUGUCGGGGAACCAGGACUUUUACCGUGAACAAAUCAGAUCGCUCAAAGAAGGCCUAUGCUCGAAUGUACUAGCAUGGAAUAAUAGAAUAGGACGUGUGGUUCUAUUUUGUUGGUUUCUAGGACCGCCGUAAUGAUUAAUAGGGACAGUCGGGGGCAUCAGUAUUCAAUUGUCAGAGGUGAAAUUCUUGGAUUUAUUGAAGACUAACUACUGCGAAAGAUUUUGCCAAGGAUGUUUUUAUUAAUCAGGAACGAAAGUUAGGGGAUCGAAGACGAUCAGAUACCGUCGUAGUCUUAACCAUAAACUAUGCCGAUUAGGGAUCGGACGGUGUUAUUUUUUGACCCGUUCGGCACCUUACGAUAAAUCAAAAUGUUUGGGCUCCUGGGGGGAGUAUGGUCGCAAGGCUGAAACUUAAAGAAAUUGACGGAAGGGCACCACCAGGGGUGGAGCCUGCGGCUUAAUUUGACUCAACACGGGGAAACUCACCAGGUCCAGACACGAUGAGGAUUGACAGAUUGAGAGCUCUUUCUCGAUUUCGUGGGUGGUGGUGCAUGGCCGUUCUUAGUUGGUGGAGUGAUUUGUCUGCUUAAUUGCGAUAACGAACGAGACCUUAACCUGCUAAAUAGCCCGUAUUGCUUUGGCAGUACGCUGGCUUCUUAGAGGGACUAUCGGCUCAAGCCGAUGGAAGUUUGAGGCAAUAACAGGUCUGUGAUGCCCUUAGAUGUUCUGGGCCGCACGCGCGCUACACUGACACACCCAGCGAGUACUCCCUUGGCCGGAAGGUCCGGGUAAUCUUGUUAAACUGUGUCGUGCUGGGGAUAGGGCAUUGCAAUUAUUGCUCUUCAACGAGGAAUCCCUAGUAAGCGCAAGUCAUCAGCUUGCGUUGAUUACGUCCCUGCCCUUUGUACACACCGCCCGUCGCUACUACCGAUUGAAUGGCUCAGUGAGGCUUCCGGACUGGCCCAGGGAGGUCGGCAACGACCACCCAGGGCCGGAAAGCUAUCCAAACUCGGUCAUUUAAGGGAAGUAAAAGUCGUAACAAGG